AAUGCGUAAACACUUCAAGUUUGAACUUACUUGAACUUAUGGCUCCUGGUCUCUGAAAUGUAAAAUAGAUUGUGAGCCGGACCUGAAGCUUGAAGUGCUACGUAUGCACAACACUCCUCUUGAAAAGAUCAAUCUGCAGAGGGAAGUGAUGGAAUGAGGAGAGGAAAGUUUUCAAAGUGAGACUGCAGAAGUGGAGGAGGAAGUAGAUAGAUGGCCAGAGGGAGGAGGAGGUGAGACAAGAUUACAGGAAUGGAGGGAGGUGUGCAGAGAGAUGACAUAGCGCCAUGUUGAGAAAUGAAGUAGAGGCCAAGGUGGACUGAAAGGAGAAAGAUGAGCAGGGGAAAAGUUAGUUUGGGACAUGGUGAGAUGAGUCAGAGAAUAGCUGAUGUGUGUGAGUUUGCAGACAUUCGUCUAGGUGGAUAUCUGAGGGUCAGUUGCAGAUAAUGAAAUGACAGCAAAGAACUGGGAUGAGGAGGCUGAAAUGUUGAAUGAUUGAGACCUAAACCUGAUGACUUCAGCAGAAUACACGAGAGAUCUAUUCAACGACUCGAAAGAGGUUGCUUAAAGGCAAAGCCUUUAAAAAUAAUAUUGCAAAAAAGGAUAUGUCCUUCUGGAGCAGAGAAAAGAAAGAAGAAGAAAACAAGAUGAGAAAAAAACAGCAAGAUAAAGGGGGGCCAAUGGGAACGCCCCUGUCCUGCAGGCGAGGAGCACUUUCCAGCACCUGCAUCCGCUGAUCCUACUGGCUAGUCCUUCUACUUCUGUGGACAUUGAGAUCGAUGUCACAUCUACUCCCUCAGCAACUUCCAGUCUACACCAUGGAUCAGCAGCUCCUCCAGAUGACCCAGCUGAGUGGUCAUCUCUCCUGUCCGACUCAGAAGGGACUGAUCUGGUAAGGAGAGGGCCACAGCCUAUAAAGGAAAACUUCACAUUCCCUAAAAAACAUGAUGGCCAAAGCUUCCAUUACCACUAGACGUACAGACAAUUAAUCAAUGGGGAAAAGUCAAGCAGAGCUGGCUCACUUCAAUUCAAAAAGAAAUGAUGCGGUCUACUGCUUCUGCUGCAAAUUGUUCUCAAGAAUGUCCACAAAACUGGUAACAGUGGGACACCAGGUUUGGUGCACUACUGAAACAGCAUGAAAAUACCCCUGAUCAGGCUUGAAACAUUGAACACCCCUUUCCAGAACUGACUUGAAUCACAGACACAGAGGGACCAGUGUAAGCUUCUUGGAGACAAACUCACCUGUGGAAAAGAGGCUGAUGUUGACGGGAGUGCACUGGCUACAGAGAUGGAUAGCCCUCUAGAACUCCCCUAAGCACAUUUGAGCUUCUCACUUACCUCUCUCAAAAUGAGAUCUGUGAGUUGUACCCAAAUGUUUGGAUAGCUCUGCAGAUUGCCUGCACUCUCCCUGUGACUUUUCUAAGCUCAAAUUGAUCAAGAAUUACUUGAGAUCUUCCAUGGCACAAGAAAGACUGAGUGGACUUGCACUAAUUAGUAUCAACAACAGAGUUGGCCGUCAGAUCUCUUACAGUGAUGUCAUAAACGACUGCCUCCAGAAAAGCCAGGAAACACAGAUUCUAAGGAGGAAGUGGAAUAUUGACAUAGUUUGUAAGAGGAAGAAAUAGGAAGAUUAAAUGUCUGAAUUAAAGUAGUUUAUUUUGGAAUUUUUCAAAUUUUUUCUGAGCCUUUUGCACAUGUGUACAUAGUUUUCAAAAAUAAUUAUUCAGCUUUAUAUUUUAUUCUUAAACCAUUAUUGUUAUCUUGUUACAGGUUCCUCUGUUCAAGUAUGCAUUUAAUAGUGUCUGUUUUUUACAUUUGCAUUUAUUUUUCAUAUAAGAAGGAAACUUUACUGAGGGAGGUACUGUUUAUCUAAGUUAAUUGAUUUUAAUUGUAGUUGAUUGUUGUUCUGCACUUUUGCACACAUUUUUUAAAACAAAGGCAGUUAAAGUGGUUAACUUGUUUACAGUAAAUGCUUUACUUUUCAGUCCACCACGUUCAGUAUAUCACUUUGAUUAUAAAAGUGCAAAUUAACACCAGACCAUUCUUGUGAGUUUGCUACCUUUUAAGAUUAAAAACCAUAGAAGGGUAAAAACAUGCCAGGCUGACAUUGGCAUGAUGUAAGCAAGACAGCUACAACUAAUAAAAUUGAUAAUGGGUGUGUUAGAUUUACGGUAUGUGUGCGCCGAGGUGGUUGGGGGGCCCCAAAUCAAAUUCUGCUUAGGGCCAAUAAAGACUUGGGCCAGCCCUGCUUAAAGGUGAAGGCCAGAAAGAGUGCUGUUCAGCAUAAUGUCUUUGUGUGACCAAGUGAUGAAAAGAAGAACCUUGAAAUAACUGAUAAUUACAACACGAUAACAUAAGCAACAAAAAGUCUCCUUAGCAUCCAUAAAUUAGCAAUACUUUUAGCUUAAUUUUACAAUCAACUAAUAUAUUUACAAAUGUUUACAUGGAGAAUGGUGUGAUAAAUCAAAAACUCACCAACACACUGUCAAUUAUGAAUGUGUUAAUUUUGUGUUUUGCCUUAACAUAAACAUCAAAUCCAGUAGAACAUUAGAUUCACAUGCUGUUGUUGUAAUUUAUCUUAAUUUAAUCAAUAAUCAGUUAUAUAUUAUUAAAUAUUUUUUUUACAUCUUUAA
Molecule: long non-coding RNA, 2630 nt
Organism: Siniperca chuatsi (mandarin fish)
Lineage: Eukaryota; Metazoa; Chordata; Actinopteri; Centrarchiformes; Sinipercidae
Exons: 3
Source: RefSeq, a predicted model, not a curated record